CCUACGGGCGGCAGCAGUGGGGAAUAUUGGACAAUGGGGGGAACCCUGAUCCAGCCAUGCCGCGUGUGUGAAGAAGGCCCUCGGGUUGUAAAGCACUUUCAGUGAGGAAGAACGCCUGGUGGUUAAUACCCAUCAGGAAAGACAUCACUCACAGAAGAAGCACCGGCUAACUCCGUGCCAGCAGCCGCGGUAAUACGGAGGGUGCGAGCGUUAAUCGGAAUUACUGGGCGUAAAGCGCGCGUAGGUGGCUUGAUAAGCCGGUUGUGAAAGCCCCGGGCUCAACCUGGGAACGGCAUCCGGAACUGUCAAGCUAGAGUGCAGGAGAGGAAGGUAGAAUUCCCGGUGUAGCGGUGAAAUGCGUAGAGAUCGGGAGGAAUACCAGUGGCGAAGGCGGCCUUCUGGACUGUCACUGACACUGAGGUGCGAAAGCGUGGGUAGCAAACAGGAUUAGAUACCCUGGUAGUC
RNAcentral lists this ribosomal RNA (465 nucleotides) under Vreelandella stevensii. Its description in RNAcentral is "partial 16S ribosomal RNA". It matches the Rfam family "Bacterial small subunit ribosomal RNA", at positions 338 to 795 of the family's 1533-position model. Lineage: Bacteria; Pseudomonadati; Pseudomonadota; Gammaproteobacteria; Oceanospirillales; Halomonadaceae. The record is from RNAcentral.